AACCCGAUGUGGCCUCUUGAUCGGUCUCGCUCCCUUGCUCCCGGUAGAGCCGGUCCGGUCCCCCGCUUCGGACAAGAUGGCUGCCUGCAGCGGGCGGUGCGGACCGCAGCAUGUUUGAGUCAGAGGGUGGCCCACGAAAAAGCAGGAUCACAGCAGUAUCAACAUAAUAAGACGUGCCCAAAGAUGCACAGACGUGACCAGGGACCACUUUCAGCAUCUUGUAGUGGAAAGUUUAGAUGUGGAUUCAGCACCAAGAAUGAACAUCACUUCGCUUUUCCGCGCAGAAGUUUUAAAGGCGGAAAAAAAAAAACACGUGCUGUGUGUAAAUCAACAAGCGGUUUGCACAUUGAAAUCAAUGGAAAUGACUGGAUGCGGAAUCUGCAAACAUACCCUUAGGACUCUUGCACAUGAAAGUCUGCAAUACACGGGCACCGGCCGUGUGCAGCCCGCUGACCCAUUCACUUGAAUGGGUCCGCAAUCACAGAGAUGCGGAACGGAAGCACGGAUAGGAAGCACUACGGAGUGCUUCCGUGGUGUUUCUGUCCGUGCCUAAAAAAUUGAACGGUGCGGACAGAUCAAGGACCCAUUCAAGUUGAAUGGGUCUCAAUCCGUCCCGGCUGCCGCACGGACGUUGCCUGUGCAUUAAGGGACCACAAAUUUCGGUCCCCAAUGCAAGGAACAGAACCACAUCGUUUGUGUGCAAGAGGCCUUAGACUGUGGCUACAUGGCGUCACAUGCCCAAAGAUCACUGUGUGGCAGUGCAGUCACUGAGAGGAAGGGUAAUAGAAUAGGCGGCACGCACCAGUGUAGAUAAGACCAUUCUUUAUUCAUACAAAAGAUAAAAAGUUACUCAUUGGGCUGGAGCGCAUGGUGCAGUAGAACCCAGAUGAGGACGGCGGUUUCGCGCUAACUUGCGCUUCGUCAGGCCAAAUUGAACUGAAUGUAGCAGUUCUGGGGUUGUAUGUAGCAACUUUGGAUUCACAUGUCGACCCUAUUCAGUUCAAUGGCUGCACUGCCACGCUGUGAUCUCUGAUCAUGUGACGGGUGUCGCAGCCAAGAUCACCAUGUAGAAUUUACAGAAAUGAUUCUUUGUGGUGCCCAAUGGUGACAGUCGGCUACUACAAGCAGCUUUAAAGAAACACUCAAGUAAUCAUUUAAUACAAUUAAAGGGGUUGUCUGGGAUUUUGACACUGAUGGCCUAUA
Long non-coding RNA from Bufo gargarizans (Asiatic toad), 1203 nucleotides. RefSeq lists it as uncharacterized. The transcript is spliced from 3 exons. Lineage: Eukaryota; Metazoa; Chordata; Amphibia; Anura; Bufonidae. The record is from RefSeq and is a predicted model, not a curated record.